Molecule: transfer RNA, 83 nt
Filed under: Volvocales sp. NrCl902
Lineage: Eukaryota; Viridiplantae; Chlorophyta; Chlorophyceae; Chlamydomonadales
Description: tRNA-Leu
Rfam family: tRNA
About the family: Transfer RNA (tRNA) molecules are approximately 80 nucleotides in length. Their secondary structure includes four short double-helical elements and three loops (D, anti-codon, and T loops).
Source: RNAcentral
GGGGAUAUGGCGGAAUGGUAGACGUUGCGGACUUAAAAUCCGUUCAGUGAGAGCUGGUGAGGGUUCAAGUCCCUCUAUCCCCA